AACGAACGCUGGCGGCAGGCUUAACACAUGCAAGUCGAACGGGCACCUUCGGGUGUCAGUGGCAGACGGGUGAGUAACGCGUGGGAACGUACCCUUCGGUUCGGAAUAACCCAGGGAAACUUGGGCUAACACCGGAUACGUCCGCAAGGAGAAGAUUUAUCGCCGAAGGAUCGGCCCGCGUCGGAUUAGCUAGUUGGUGGGGUAAUGGCCCACCAAGGCGACGAUCCGUAGCUGGUCUGAGAGGAUGANCAGCCACAC
This 258-nucleotide ribosomal RNA is filed under the name uncultured bacterium. RNAcentral's name for it is "partial 16S ribosomal RNA". It matches the Rfam family "Bacterial small subunit ribosomal RNA", at positions 29 to 313 of the family's 1533-position model. The record is from RNAcentral.